Brassica napus (rape) is the source of this 124-nucleotide non-coding RNA. The record is from Rfam. Lineage: Eukaryota; Viridiplantae; Streptophyta; Magnoliopsida; Brassicales; Brassicaceae.
GGAAUAUAAGAAACCGUCUCUUAAUUUUUACUAAAAAAGCUAAGAACCGGCUCUUAAAUAAGAUAUUUAAGAGCCGGUUCUUAGCUUUUGUAGUUAAAAAUUAAGAGACGGUUUCUUAUAUUCC